GAUGAACGCUCGCGAUAGGCUUAACACAUGCAAGUCGAGGGGCAGCAUGGUCUUAGCUUGCUAAGACUGAUGGCGACCGGCGCACGGGUGCGUAACGCGUAUGCAACUUGCCUCACAGAGGGGGAUAACCCGUCGAAAGACGGACUAAUACCGCGUACACUCUAUUUUGGGCAUCCAAGGUAGAGGAAAUGAAAUUCGCUGUGAGAUAGGCAUGCGUCCCAUUAGCUAGUUGGUGAGGUAACGGCUCACCAAGGCGACGAUGGGUAGGGGAACUGAGAGGUUGAACCCACACACUGGUACUGAGACACGGACCAGACUCCUACGGGAGGCAGCAGUGAGGAAUAUUGGUCAAUGGGCGAGAGCCUGAACCAGCCAAGUCGCGUGAAGGAUGACUGUCUUAUGGAUUGUAAACUUCUUUUGUAGGGGAAUAAAGAGGGGCACGGGUGCCCCAGUGAAUGUACCCUACGAAUAAGCAUCGGCUAACUCCGUG
RNAcentral lists this ribosomal RNA (490 nucleotides) under uncultured bacterium. RNAcentral describes it as "partial 16S ribosomal RNA". It matches the Rfam family "Bacterial small subunit ribosomal RNA", at positions 28 to 507 of the family's 1533-position model. The record is from RNAcentral.